AUUUGCACCGAAAAUGGUUACACCUUUGGUUUGCAUUUCCAUUGCUGCCUUCGAUGGAAUCCUUUCCCAUUGACCCACAUUCGGGUCAUCAAGUGAUGCCCACAUAUGGACAGGAUUCUUGCAAAAAGGACUCGCUACGUCCCGCAUCCUUCGGCCAUUCUCCUCCAGUGCGUGAGUCCUGAAACACGAGGGAAAUCAAAGGACAUGGCGUCAAUCAGUUUUCCACUAAACCAGGCACACAUGUCGGUCACCUCCUGCGGGCUCCGCUGCCUCCCCUCCCUUUCUGCGACUCCUGUGGAUUUUGCCUCUUUUCCCAAUCUCCAUCGAGUGGAAAACUUGGCAGCAAUUGGCGACCGGCAGUUGAAGUAUGACUACCUUCUUUCUCGCAAAAAAAAAAAAUAGAUAGUUAAACUUUGCUCUGCUGGGCUAUUGAUGUAUUUCGACUGCUUGCAGUUGGUAUUUACAUUUGCCCAACUAUUUCAUUGUUUGUCCAUUUUGCAGGAUGAAUGUGCUUUGAUUUCGAUUUCAUUGCACACAGGUGCGCACGAGGACAAUUCGGUUCGGUAAAUGCUGUUUGAUCCAGGCAGUCAGUUGUAGUUAUCCUGUAGUUUGGUCCUUGCACUCAGAAAAAUGAAAUUUAUGUUUCAUUUAAAAAUAUAUCAUAUAUACAAAGAAAAGAAACAUUAAGAAAUGUAAGAGAAACACACUUCUUUAAAUAUAUUAUAUAUAUACAUAUAUAUUUAUAUUAUAUUAUUAUAUAUAU
This is a non-coding RNA of Drosophila melanogaster (fruit fly), 763 nucleotides long. The record is from Ensembl. Lineage: Eukaryota; Metazoa; Arthropoda; Insecta; Diptera; Drosophilidae.